CGCUGGCGGCGUGCCUAACACAUGCAAGUCGAACGGGGAUUUGUUUCGGCAGAAUCCUAGUGGCGAACGGGUGAGUAACGCGUAGGCAACCUGCCCUCCGGCCGGGGGACAACACUCCGAAAGGGGUGCUAAUACCGGAUACGAAGUCUGUGCCGCAUGGUACGGAUUUGAAAGAUGGCCUCUGUUUACAAGCUAUCGCCGGGGGAUGGGCCUGCGUCCGAUUAGCUGGUUGGUGGGGUAACGGCCUACCAAGGCGACGAUCGGUAGCCGGUCUGAGAGGAUGAACGGCCACAUUGGGACUGAGACACGGCCCAGACUCCUACGGGAGGCAGCAGUGGGGAAUCUUCCGCAAUGGGCGCAAGCCUGACGGAGCAACGCCGCGUGAGUGAGGAAGUUCUUCGGAACGUAAAGCUCUGUUGUUCCUGACGAACCUCCCCUCUAUCAACAACGGAGGGGACUGACGGUAGGGAACGAGGAAGCCACGGCUAACUACGUGCCAGCCGCUGC
Molecule: ribosomal RNA, 507 nt
Filed under: uncultured bacterium
Lineage: Bacteria
Description: bacterial SSU rRNA
Rfam family: Bacterial small subunit ribosomal RNA
Source: RNAcentral